GGGGGCCCGCACAAGCGGCGGAGCAUGCGGAUUAAUUCGAUGCAACGCGAAGAACCUUACCAAGACUUGACAUAUACGAGAACGGGCCAGAAAUGGUCAACUCUUUGGACACUCGUAAACAGGUGGUGCAUGGUUGUCGUCAGCUCGUGUCGUGCGAUGUUGGGUUAAGUCCCGCAACGAGCGCAACCCUCGUCCUAUGUUGCCAGCACGUAAUGGUGGGAACUCAUGGGAUACUGCCGGGGUCAACUCGGAGGAAGGUGGGGAUGACGUCAAAUCAUCAUGCCCCUUAUGUCUUGGGCUUCACGCAUGCUACAAUGGCCGGUACAAAGGGCUGCAAUGCCGUAAGGUGGAGCGAAUCCCAAAAAGCCGGUCUCAGUUCGGAUUGAGGUCUGCAACUCGACCUCAUGAAGUCGGAGUCGCUAGUAAUCGCAGAUCAGCAACGCUGCGGUGAAUACGUUCCCGGGCCUUGUACACACCGCCCGUCAAGUCAUGAAAGUCGGUAACACCCGAAGCCAGUGGCCUAACCCGCAAGGGGAGGAGCUGUCGAAGGUGGGAUCGGUGAUUAGGACUAAGUCGUAACAAGGUAACCGUAAGGGC
Molecule: ribosomal RNA, 597 nt
Filed under: uncultured bacterium
Lineage: Bacteria
Description: bacterial SSU rRNA
Rfam family: Bacterial small subunit ribosomal RNA
Source: RNAcentral